AGUGAACGCUGGCGGUAGGCCUAACACAUGCAAGUCGAACGGCAGCACAGUAAGAGCUUGCUCUUACGGGUGGCGAGUGGCGGACGGGUGAGGAAUACAUCGGAAUCUACUUUUUCGUGGGGGAUAACGUAGGGAAACUUACGCUAAUACCGCAUACGACCUACGGGUGAAAGCAGGGGAUCUUCGGACCUUGCGCGAUUGAAUGAGCCGAUGUCGGAUUAGCUAGUUGGCGGGGUAAAGGCCCACCAAGGCGACGAUCCGUAGCUGGUCUGAGAGGAUGAUCAGCCACACUGGAACUGAGACACGGUCCAGACUUCUACGGGAGGCAGCAGUGGGGAAUAUUGGACAAUGGGCGCAAGCCUGAUCCAGCCAUACCGCGUGGGUGGAGAAGGCCUUCGGGUUGUAAAGCCCUUUUGUUGGGAAAGAAAAGCAGCAGGUUAAUACCCCGCUGUUCUGACGGUACCCAAAGAAUAAGCACCGGCUAACUUCGUG
This 492-nucleotide ribosomal RNA is filed under the name uncultured bacterium. RNAcentral describes it as "partial 16S ribosomal RNA". It matches the Rfam family "Bacterial small subunit ribosomal RNA", at positions 29 to 507 of the family's 1533-position model. The record is from RNAcentral.